CACGGGGGAUGCGAGCGUUAUCCGGAUUUAUUGGGUUUAAAGGGCGCGCAGGCGGUCAAGUAGGUCGGCGGUCAAAUCACGGCGCUCAACGUCGUGCCGCCGUCGAAACCCCCUGACUAGAGUCGGUUCGAGGUGGGCGGAACAGGUGAAGUAGCGGUGAAAUGCUUAGAUAUCACCUGGAACCCCGAUGGCGAAGGCAGCCCACCAGGCCCGAACUGACGCUGAGGCGCGAGAGCGUGGGUAGCGAACA
Molecule: ribosomal RNA, 250 nt
Filed under: uncultured bacterium
Lineage: Bacteria
Description: partial 16S ribosomal RNA
Rfam family: Bacterial small subunit ribosomal RNA
Source: RNAcentral